UGAUAAUAGUAUAAAAAGUAUGUCUGUUUUCCAAACAGGCGGUUCCGUUAGGAUUGUCA
This 59-nucleotide transfer RNA is filed under the name Ruditapes variegatus. RNAcentral's name for it is "tRNA-Gly". Lineage: Eukaryota; Metazoa; Mollusca; Bivalvia; Venerida; Veneridae. RNAcentral also lists the same sequence under 1 other name. The record is from RNAcentral.